UUUUUAUCAGAAGAUAGGAUAUUAAUUAGAAUUUGAAAUAGAAUAUAGGUUAAAGCCUAAAAAUAAGUGGCCAAAAUAACAAGCCUAAUGAAACAGGGCAUACAAAUUGAAACCCAAACUCACAGAAAUCCCACUCAGAGAUUUGACAUAGAAAUCCUAAAACCCAACUUCUAAAGGUCCAAGCCCAACUUCGAUCCUAGCUAGGGCAUGAACAUACAAUAGAGACUCAACUCUUUAGCGUUGUCAUUGCCUCCAUAGACCAUCACCAGGAAUAUUUAACGCCGAGUGCAGGAUGGAGGCAGAAGCCUAAUAGAGAGACCCAUAGAGAACAUCCACGGUGAUAGAUCGAGCCAUAUAGGAUUCACUAACCAACAAGACCAUAGAUCCAUGGGUGAGCUUUAGGCCCAGGAGGCGAGAACCAGAGUUUGUAGGAACCAAGAAGAAGCUGCUCACACCGUUAGAGCUUAUAGGGCGACAAUAACUUCGAUUGACAGGCGUUCCACUCACGCUAUACCUUCUAGCCACCAAACCAACAAGCAGCGAAAGACAAAUACUCAACGCCUCUGAUUUGUCAAACACGCAUACAGGGCAAACAACUAAAUCUUUUUCACUUAACAUGAACACCUACAAAAAGCUCAAUAAGCACAAAAAGAAAGCACAAUAAAACCCAGAGCAGCCUACAAAAUCCAUUCCCUUCAGCACAAGCUGCUCCACCAAACAAAAUAAAAAUUAUUUACAAUUUCGACCAAUAACGAAAAGGAAAACCACCAAGCUGGCCGAAACAAAGAAAGCCAAUGAAACAAUAACAUUAAGAAUCUAAAACCCUGUUCUCAAAACAAAAGAAUCUGAAACCCUAAAUUAAAAAAGAAAUUAAAAUGGGAGAGCUUCUCUAUCUUAAUUUCUCGCCUUCUAAAAGCUCAACUCCCCCCACUAUCUUAAACGCACACCGAGCUAUACAUAUGGCCCACCAGUUCCUUUUGAGCAAGAUAUGAAUUUGUUUUGA
Molecule: unclassified non-coding RNA, 1003 nt
Filed under: Hevea brasiliensis (rubber tree)
Lineage: Eukaryota; Viridiplantae; Streptophyta; Magnoliopsida; Malpighiales; Euphorbiaceae
Source: RNAcentral